Molecule: small RNA, 27 nt
Filed under: Bombyx mori (domestic silkworm)
Lineage: Eukaryota; Metazoa; Arthropoda; Insecta; Lepidoptera; Bombycidae
Description: ovarian small RNA-32429
Source: RNAcentral
UGAUAGAUUAUCGAGGGACAGUUGUGC